RNAcentral lists this ribosomal RNA (484 nucleotides) under uncultured bacterium. RNAcentral's name for it is "partial 16S ribosomal RNA". It matches the Rfam family "Bacterial small subunit ribosomal RNA", at positions 28 to 507 of the family's 1533-position model. The record is from RNAcentral.
AUUGAACGCUGGCGGCAUGCUUUACACAUGCAAGUCGAACGGCAGCGCGGGCUUCGGCCUGGCGGCGAGUGGCGAACGGGUGAGUAAUGCAUCGGAACGUGCCCAGUAGUGGGGGAUAGCCCGGCGAAAGCCGGAUUAAUACCGCACACGACCUGAGGGUGAAAGCGGGGGACCAAAAGGCCUCCCGCAAUUGGGCGGGCCGAUGUCGGAUUGGCUGAUUGGUGGGGUAAAGGCUUACCAAGGCGACGAUCCGUAGCUGGUCUGAGAGGACGACCAGCCACACUGGGACUGAGACACGGCCCAGACUCCUACGGGAGGCAGCAGUGGGGAAUUUUGGACCAUGGGGGCAACCCUGAUCCAGCCAUGCCGCGUGCGGGAAGAAGGCCUUCGGGUUGUAAACCGCUUUUGUUCGGGAAGAAAUCCUCUGGGCUAAUACCCCGGGGGGAUGACGGUACCGGAAGAAUAAGCACCGGCUAACUACGUG